UACGUAGGGUGCAAGCGUUAAUCGGAAUUACUGGGCGUAAAGCGUGCGCAGGCGGUUUUGUAAGUCUGACGUGAAAUCCCCGGGCUCAACCUGGGAAUUGCGUUGGAGACUGCAAGGCUGGAGUCUGGCAGAGGGGGGUAGAAUUCCACGUGUAGCAGUGAAAUGCGUAGAGAUGUGGAGGAAUACCGAUGGCGAAGGCAGCCUCCUGGGCCAACACUGACGCUCAUGCACGAAAGCGUGGGGAGCAAACAGG
RNAcentral lists this ribosomal RNA (253 nucleotides) under uncultured bacterium. RNAcentral's name for it is "partial 16S ribosomal RNA". It matches the Rfam family "Bacterial small subunit ribosomal RNA", at positions 524 to 776 of the family's 1533-position model. The record is from RNAcentral.